This 468-nucleotide ribosomal RNA is filed under the name uncultured bacterium. RNAcentral's name for it is "partial 16S ribosomal RNA". It matches the Rfam family "Bacterial small subunit ribosomal RNA", at positions 28 to 507 of the family's 1533-position model. The record is from RNAcentral.
GACGAACGCUGGCGGCGUGCUUAACACAUGCAAGUCGAACGGAAAGGCCCUGCUUUUGUGGGGUGCUCGAGUGGCGAACGGGUGAGUAACACGUGAGUAACCUGCCCUUGACUUUGGGAUAACUUCAGGAAGCUGGGGCUAAUACCGGAUAGGAGCUCCUGCUGCAUGGUGGGGGUUGGAAAGUUUCGGCGGUUGGGGAUGGACUCGCGGCUUAUCAGCUUGUUGGUGGGGUAGUGGCUUACCAAGGCUUUGACGGGUGGCCGGCCUGAGAGGGUGACCGGCCACAUUGGGACUGAGAUACGGCCCAGACUCCUACGGGAGGCAGCAGUGGGGAAUAUUGCACAAUGGGCGGAAGCCUGAUGCAGCAACGCCGCGUGCGGGAUGACGGCCUUCGGGUUGUAAACCGCUUUCGCCUGUGACGAAGCGUGAGUGACGGUAAUGGGUAAAGAAGCACCGGCUAACUACGUG